GCUCUAGUGGCAAAAGUGAUUAGAGCGUUCGCCUCAUAUGCGAGUGGUUGCUGGUUCGAAUCCCGGUCGAGUU
This is a non-coding RNA of Potamilus streckersoni, 73 nucleotides long. NCBI's taxonomy places the organism in Eukaryota, Metazoa, Mollusca, Bivalvia, Unionida, Unionidae. The record is from the annotation of a GenBank genome assembly.